CCGGGCCGGGGGCGGCUCCCUCGCCCCGGCCCGCGGUCAUGUGACCCGUCCAAGAUGGCUGCCGGGGAGCGCCGCGCCGCGCCCGCCGCGGGAAAGGAGGAAGACUUUGAGAUUAUUGAUAAAAAACAGAUCCCUGACGCGGCUGAGCUGAGGAACGAGGAGAAGGCGAAACCGGAGGAAGCGCGAUGGUCUGCUCCGAUCUUGUCUCUGGCCAGGAAAGCCUCGGAAAACUUGGCGCUGAGCUAUGGCAGCGCCCUGAAGUCCGCAUCCCUGGUGGGGUUGGUGUCCAAGCCCGGCAGCAGUGACAGCCCGGCAAAGACAAGUACGGCUCCGCUUCUUUAGUAAACUCGCUUUUGUGGUGCGCAAAUGAGUUCGCUCCCAGAGGUCAGAAGCUUCAAAACUAGAGAAAACGAAACAAGAAAGACUUGCAGUCCCAAAGACCAAGGGAUGGAGAACUGUGAGCUUUCCUUUGUGCUUCAGUGUUUUCUGACUUCAAAGUGUGCUGAAUAAUUACAGUAAACAAGGCAUGUGGCUUCAAAACGAUGUUGAAACAAAUCUCUUGAGUUGAAUAAGACACAAAACCAUGUGACUGCAUUCUUAAAGAUUGCAGCAUCACAUCUGUGGUCUUUUGUACUGGGGUAACCUGAUUCCUAAUCUUUGAUGCUUGGCUUAGGUAGUGUGUCUAAUACCUGUUUAUUUUGCAUGUAUGAACCUGCACAGUUUUGCAAAAGAUGUAUUUGACUGUGUAAAUUUGCAGCAGUCUGAAAAAUAUUGUUGAAGUAAUUAUUUAACUUAAUGCAAACUGAUAAUAAGACACUUCUUCAUUUAAAA
Molecule: non-coding RNA, 831 nt
Organism: Cyanistes caeruleus (blue tit)
Lineage: Eukaryota; Metazoa; Chordata; Aves; Passeriformes; Paridae
Source: RefSeq, a predicted model, not a curated record